Molecule: ribosomal RNA, 553 nt
Filed under: uncultured Entrophospora
Lineage: Eukaryota; Fungi; Glomeromycota; Glomeromycetes; Entrophosporales; Entrophosporaceae
Description: SSU rRNA
Rfam family: Eukaryotic small subunit ribosomal RNA
Source: RNAcentral
UUGGAGGGCAAGUCUGGUGCCAGCAGCCGCGGUAAUUCCAGCUCCAAUAGCGUAUAUUAAAGUUGUUGCAGUUAAAAAGCUCGUAGUUGAAUUUCGGGAUUGACACAUCGGUCGUGCCUUAAGGGGUAUGAACUGGUGUAGUCAAUUUCUCACCUUCUGGAGAACCGCGAUGCCCUUAAUUGGGUGUCGCGGGGAACCAGGACCUUUACUUUGAAAAAAUUAGAGUGUUUAAAGCAGGCAUUUUGCUUGAAUACAUUAGCAUGGAAUAAUAAAAUAGGACGGCAUGAUUCUAUUUUGUUGGUUUCUAGGAUCCCCGUAAUGAUUAAUAGGGAUAGUUGGGGGCAUUAGUAUUCAAUUGUCAGAGGUGAAAUUCUUGGAUUUAUUGAAGACUAACUACUGCGAAAGCAUUUGCCAAGGAUGUUUUCAUUAAUCAAGAACGAAAGUUAGGGGAUCGAAGACGAUCAGAUCCCGUGUAGUCUUACCCAUAAACUAUGCCGACUAGGAAUCAGACGAUGUUAUUUUUUAAUGACUCAUUCGGCGCCUUACGGGAAAC